RNAcentral lists this long non-coding RNA (3227 nucleotides) under Equus asinus (donkey). RNAcentral's name for it is "lncRNA (ENSEASG00005025144.1)". Lineage: Eukaryota; Metazoa; Chordata; Mammalia; Perissodactyla; Equidae. The record is from RNAcentral.
GAGCACUCAUCGGAAUCACCUGGAGAAGUUGUUAAAACACUGAUGGCUGGGCUCCACCCUCAUAAGUUCUGAUUUGGUAAGUUUCAGGGUAGGGACAGAGAAUUUGCAUUUCUGCCCAGUUCCCAGGUGAUGCUGAUGGUGCUGGGCUAAGAAUUACCGGAUGUGAGGAGGUAACCAACAGUGAAAGGCCCAUCCUUUUUCGGCAUUUUAAGUGGCUCUAACCUGACUUCCUGCUCACACGUUUCAAGUUAAGUCUUCCAGUUUACAUGGCCCGCCCUUGUGCUCAGAGCUGAGUCAUCCUUCUCACACAGGGAAGUUAUGAUUGUAACCAGCAGAAGAACUCAAAGCAGAAACGGCCAAAAGUGGCUGCCUCUGGAGAACAGCCACUUCUGUGUAUCGAGAUCAAGGUUGUGAAUGGAGCAUAAUAUAGGCAUGAGUAGCUAUUCUUUCAAGGAUACCAGUAAUUGAGUUAAAAUCAUCAUAGUGAGGUUGACAAAAUAUUAACCUAUGGCUUGCACCAAAAUUUGUCUUAGGAAGGGCACUGUUCCCCUUUGGAAAAAUAAUUUGAAAACAACCUGGGGAAGAAGCUCACCUCCCCUUCUCCUCAGGCCACCCCCCAAGCCCACCCCCCGCCACAAGGACCUCCAUGAAGGCUAGCACCAAGGCUCAAGAGAAAAUGGCUGAAAUGCUCUGCAAACAAAAAGAGCAGUCAUUGGACCUCCUUGGAAAACCCACCAAAGAGCAGAGAGUAGAAGGAUUGAGAAAUGAGUGCCACUGAGAGGGGCUGCAUUUUGAGCUGUCACCUCUCACCUGACAUCCUUCUUCACCUCCCAAGGCCCUCUUCAGUUAAGACUCACACAUACUCGUGCAAGUGAUUUUUUGAAGUGGAAACUAAAGCAGCUAUGACAUGGGAUGACCCAGACAACCCAAGAGGAAGUGGAAAGCCAAGGAGGCAGCAGAGGCUCGGAGAACGACAUAUGAUUAGUCCACCCUAGGGAGAUGUAGCAGAAAUCUUGGUUUUCACUUUCCACAGGCCCAGUUAUUAGAGAGUUGAAGGUAAUUUCACCUACAUCUCAGCCUCCAGUUGACACCCUGUCAUUUAAGAACUAGAAAAAAACCACCAAGUUCAUGUCAGGGAGCAAAUAUAUUCAAUCCUAUGAAAUUGCCAGAUGACCGAGGGCUCUGACCUCCUGAGAAGGACUUCACCUGCUGCAGAGAACUCUUCUUGGAAGGGGGGAUGGUUCAGCAGUGUCCAGAACCACCCGGGCUGGGAGCUAUAGACCAAAAGCUGAGUGUGUUCUUCAUGUGGAACAACUCGGAGAGCUCCUAGGCUGGCAGUCAUCUACGCAGAAACCAGAAAAGCCAAGUCUGACCCAUUGCAGGAGCUUCUCUAAGUAAAUAAGUAAAUUUAAAAAAAACCCUUAUAGCUAUUUUUGGCCUGAUUCACUCUAUAACCAUUAUUUCAUUUACCAUCUGAAGAACAGGGACUCUGAUUCAAAUAAUACUUAUUCUUCAUUUGGUUCUGGCCAUCAUUCCCCACUAACACCGAGGAAAUAACCUGAAGUUCUGCCAUUAAUACAAAGUUAUUAUUAUUCCAUUUGCUCAAGAACUUAAUGGAUUCUAUUCAUCAAUACAUUUCUUUCACAAUUCAAGUUUGUAUCUUUUUUUUUAAAAGCAUUUCCAUUUCUCUUCACAAUUGCAAGGCUAGGUUGAAUUAACAUUUUUUCCUCCCUUUCUAUGGCCAAUUCUUCUUUUCAUUUAUUAAUUACCUGCUUGACUCAUUUGCAGACCUAGCAUAAAAUCAACCUCAUGCUCUCUGUCCUGAAUAAUUAGCUGUUUCCUUUAUGGAUCAAAUGGAAGGGCUUGUCAUCAGAUUCUUCAAUAAGACAGCUUUCAAAAAGAAUAACACUAUUACCUUAAGGAAAACUAUUCUCUAAUUUGUCAGAAAAACAAUCUGAAGAGAAAUGUAUGGUCAUUUUGUCUUGCGAUCCAAAGUCCAGUUUAAUUCUGCUCUCUUUGUCUCCACCCUGAAGAGGAUGUUAGGCAGCACAGACGUCCACGUUGGCUGGCGUGUGUUACAUUUGUCCUCCUAUCGCUCAGGAACAAGGACCACAUGUCUGGCUCAGGGAGGCAAAGUGGGACUGAAAUACCAAACACAUUCACUUGCCAAAUUCCAGGAUAUUAGGAUCUUGGUUUAAUCUGUUCCGAAUUAUAACCGAGUAGAGAAAAGUCUGUUUUUCUAUAUCUGUAGCCAUGGGAAUAUUUAGCAAGAGGAAAAUUCUUGUUCCUCAGCUCCCUCUGCUGGCCUUUCAGAAAACCAUUUGUCCCCUUACUAGCAGAUCUCGUGCUUUGUGAGCAUAGAGGGCCAACUUCCUCCCAAAUGUGAGCUGAUAGGGAAGACAGGUCCACAUCAACUGGGAAAAACUCCUCAAGAAACCCAGUGCUCCAAAAGAUAAUAAUGGAAGAGAGGCAGGCCUUCCUAAUGGUGAGUGCAAACUGCCAGGCAGAUUCUCCAGCCCACUAGACAAAGCAGCAAGCCAGAGAUGGGGCCUAGGCACGUUUAUUCUGAAAAAGACUCCCAGGUGAUCCUGGUUAGGAACCGCAGGUCCUAAAGUUAUGUUUUAUGUCAAAGACAUAUUCUGGUGGCUACAGUUCGCAUUUCUAUGUAUUUUGCAGGCUUAAUGUGUUGAGGGGGGUGGCUAAUCAUUAACCUGACCCAAUAUGCUUGGUUAUUUAAUGGCACAUAUACCCUUGUUUCCUCAGACUUAAAACCCCACUUCCAUUUCUUCAUGCUUCUUAUCCUCCUCGAAGAUUCUCAGGAACUGAUAAGAGCAAUUCAGAGAGGCAUUCAGCUCUGCACCCAAGUUUCUGAAGGCUGCUGCUUUCCUGUCUUUGGUUUUCUCAAGUCUUCUCCUUAAGGGUUUUGCUAGUGUCAAUGCGUUUCCUCUGAAUGACAGAAGGGUCACAUUUCCCAACCUUCUGACUGCCGUUCCUCGUGCAUGAGAGCAGCGAAGACCGGGCAGGUGCUGAAUGACACACACAGCAUACUGAGCCCACAGGCCUGAGGUCUACACAUCAAACCUAUCCCUGGCAAGAGAAGACGUCUUGGCAUGUCAGCUCAGGGACCUAAGAGAUUGCUUCUCACUGGCCAGGGCACAAUUUACCCUCAAAUUCUAUUUACCCCAGUCAGAGCUACACCGAGAAAAAUAGUUUCACGGCUCUGAGUU